This 315-nucleotide ribosomal RNA is filed under the name uncultured eukaryote. Its description in RNAcentral is "partial 18S ribosomal RNA". It matches the Rfam family "Eukaryotic small subunit ribosomal RNA", at positions 1470 to 1796 of the family's 1831-position model. The record is from RNAcentral.
CCCUUAGAUGUUCUGGGCUGCACGCGCGCUACACUGACGCACGCAACAGGUGCCUGCUCCGAGAGGACUGGGUAAUCAUUUGAGUGUGCGUCGUGAUGGGGAUAGAAUAUUGUAAUUAUUACUCUUCAGCGAGGAAUUCCUAGUAAGCGCCAGUCAGCAGCUUGCGCUGAUUACGUCCCUGCCCUUUGUACACACCGCCCGUCGCUCCUACCGAUGGGUGAUCCGGUGAAUGAUUCGGACUUCAGCGGCUCCCCUGGGGUGCGCCGGAGAAAGUUUUGUGAACCUUAUCACUUGGAGGAAGGAGAAGUCGUAACA